Molecule: ribosomal RNA, 254 nt
Filed under: uncultured bacterium
Lineage: Bacteria
Description: partial 16S ribosomal RNA
Rfam family: Bacterial small subunit ribosomal RNA
Source: RNAcentral
UACGUAGGGUGCAAGCGUUGUCCGGAAUUAUUGGGCGUAAAGCGUGCGCAGGCGGUCUGUUAAGACCGAUGUGAAAUCCCCGGGCUUAACCUGGGAACUGCAUUGGUGACUGGCAGGCUUUGAGUGUAGCAGAGGGAGGUAGAAUUCCACGUGUAGCAGUGAAAUGCGUAGAGAUGUGGAGGAAUACCGAUGGCGAAGGCAGCCUCCUGGGCCAACACUGACGCUCAUGCACGAAAGCGUGGGGAGCAAACAGG